GUAGGUGAACCUGCGGAAGGAUCAUUACAAAAAUAAUUUGUGUGCGAUGCUUGAGAAGUGUCAAAACUUCUUCUGCGUCACACUCUAAGCCCACUCCUGAAAGGGAGAUGGACAGUGUGCUGUGCUUUUGUGCGGUAUGCUAACAUAUACUUUAAAUCAUGACUUAUAACAUAAAGUUUUUAAUUAACCAAAACUUUUAACAAUGGAUCUCUUGGCUCUU
Molecule: unclassified non-coding RNA, 220 nt
Filed under: rhizosphere metagenome
Description: partial ribosomal RNA internal transcribed spacer region
Source: RNAcentral